Molecule: ribosomal RNA, 297 nt
Filed under: uncultured bacterium
Lineage: Bacteria
Description: partial 16S ribosomal RNA
Rfam family: Bacterial small subunit ribosomal RNA
Source: RNAcentral
CCGCAAGAAUAAGCCCCNGCUAACUUCGUGCCAGCAGCCGCNNNNAUACGAAGGGGGCUAGCGUUGCUCGGAAUCACUGGGCGUAAAGGGUGCGUAGGCGGGUCUUUAAGUCAGGGGUGAAAUCCUGGAGCUCAACUCCAGAACUGCCUUUGAUACUGAGGAUCUUGAGUUCGGGAGANGUGAGUGGAACUGCGAGUGUAGAGGUGAAAUUCGUAGAUAUUCGCAAGAACACCAGUGGCGAAGGCGGCUCACUGGCCCGAUACUGACGCUGAGGCACGAAAGCGUGGGGAGCAAACA